This 253-nucleotide ribosomal RNA is filed under the name uncultured bacterium. RNAcentral describes it as "partial 16S ribosomal RNA". It matches the Rfam family "Bacterial small subunit ribosomal RNA", at positions 524 to 776 of the family's 1533-position model. The record is from RNAcentral.
UACGAAGGGGGCUAGCGUUGCUCGGAAUGACUGGGCGUAAAGGGCGCGUAGGCGGACGGCUUUGUCGGGCGUGAAAUUCCAGGGCUUAACCUUGGGGCUGCGUUCGAGACGGGUUGUCUAGAGUUUGGAAGAGGGUCGUGGAAUUCCCAGCGUAGAGGUGAAAUUCGUAGAUAUUGGGAAGAACACCGGUGGCGAAGGCGGCGACCUGGUCCUUGACUGACGCUGAGGCGCGAAAGCGUGGGGAGCAAACAGG